Molecule: long non-coding RNA, 5772 nt
Filed under: Sus scrofa (pig)
Lineage: Eukaryota; Metazoa; Chordata; Mammalia; Artiodactyla; Suidae
Description: lncRNA (ENSSSCG00025002421.1)
Source: RNAcentral
UUUUUUUAUUUUUUUAUUUUUUUUUUGUCUUUUUGUCUUUUGUCUUUUGUUGUUGUUGCUAUUUCUUGGGCCGCUCCCGCGGCAUAUGGAGGUUCCCAGGCUAGGGGUCGAAUCGGAACUGUAGCCUCCGGCCUACGCCAGAGCCACAGCAACGCGGGAUCCGAGCCGCGUCUGCAACCUACACCACAGCUCACGGCAACGCCGGAUCGUUAACCCACUGAGCAAGGGCAGGGACCGAACCCGCCACCUCAUGGUUCCUAGUCGGAUUCGUUAACCACUGUGCCACGACGGGAACUCCUAUUUUUUUAACAUUAUAUUUUUCCAAUUCAUGGGGAAUGAACUUGGUAAAAUUAGUGAAAUACAGGUCUGAUUUACAUUUUUUCCAACCAUUUUUAUUGACUAGUCCAUCUUUUAAAUAUAAGGUCACGUUUAUCUUAUACUAAAUUCUUGUGCACACUGGAUCCAUUUAAGGAAUUCUCUAAUCACUUCCACUAGUCUGCUACAUGGGCUAUCUUUCUUAUAAUUUUAACUUAUUUAGUUUGAAUACACAACACAGUCAUAUGCUUGGAAAUUCAGAAAACAUUAAAGGGUAUAUAGGAAAAUGUUUGCCUACUCCAUUACUCUUUUUCCCACCAAAUCAAGUCCUAUAAGCAAAAAACUGGCCCCUGACUACUCUUUUUGAAAAACGGUGUAUCAUAAGAAUUGUUACGCAUCUUACCCUUUCUAAAGCUAAACAAUAAACUCUACUAUGUCAGUACAAAAGGGGCUUCUUCCAUUUUUUCAUUGCAUGAAUGGAACAUAAUAUAUUCAAUCUUCUGUUGAUGGAUGUUAGGUUUUUUCCAAAACUUCUGCUGCUACAAAAAAUACCAGAAUCAAUAACCGUACAAACUUCUUUUUGCAUGUGUGAGUGCAUGUGAAGCAUAUUUCUAGAAAUGUGAUUACUAGAUCAAAGGAUAAAUGCAUUUGUAUUUAUAAAAGACAUUGACAAAUUGCCAUCCAUAAAGGUUGCUCAUCUAUGCAGCCAUUGUUAUAUUUUACAGUAAUUGUUUGGUGGUAGUUUUGUUCGGUAGUUGCUUAGUCUACCAGUGAUGGAUAAAAAUGUCUGUCUCCAUUCUCCCAUACACAUACAGUAUGUGAUAUUUGGUAGUAUUGAACUUUACCCAGGUUUUGUUUAAAUAACAUUAAAUAAUUAAAUAGCAGGGUUUCUAAAAAAAUUUUUUUGACAAUUCAGAGAUUUAUGGGUUGUGAGACAUUUCUAUUUAAUGACACAUUCCCCACAUAGGAAAUCUUUUGGAUUUUUCAUUUUAAUUUAAGUUUGCACUCAUUGUAAUUUCUGCCAUUGUUUAUUUUGUGUACUUUUAACAUAGGAUUUAUAGAUAGAAAGAUUAAAUUAAGUACAUUGUUUUAUUGCUAAUACAUUAUUUCUUACACAUCUAAAACCUUAUAUCUAAUAAUGCCUUAAAUGUUUGAAAUUGUGUGAGUUUAAACUCUAAAAUUUAGAUAUGUUUUAGUAAAUUAGAAUGUAAUGCAAACAGAAAAAAGAAAAAAAGUUUCUAAAUCAAGUCUCUUCCCAAGUUAUCUAAUCUUACCUCAGGGGGUACUUUUAUCUCAUGAACAGAAUAUGAGAAGUUUCAUAUACGACAAAGCAAGAAAGUUUUCAAAUAAAUCUUGGGACAAAUCAUAGUUUGACUUAUGGCUUCAAUAAUUAUUAUCAAAAUUGCAACAAAACAGGAGUUCCCAUCAUGGCAUGGAAGAAAUAAAUCUGACUAGGAACCAGGAGGUUGCAGGUUCGAUCCCUGGCCUUGCUCAGUGAGUUAAGGAUCUGGCGUUUCCAUGGCUGUGGUGUAGCUCACAGCAAUGCCGGAUCCUCAACCCACUGAGCAAGGCCAGGGAUCGAACACGCAACCUCAUGGUUCCUAGUUGGAUACGUUAACCACUGAGGCACGAUGGGAACUCCAGUAUAACCAUUUUAUAGACAAACUUGCCUGAAUACUUAGCAGAUACUUAAGCUACUCAAUAGCUUAGAAUUAAUCUUGAGGAUUUACUUUCACUUCCCCUCACGCCCCACUUUUUUUUUUCUUUUUAGGGUGACACCCAUGGCAUGUGGAAAUUGAGGCUAGGAGUUGAAUCGGAGCUGCAGCUGCCAGCUGCAGCCACAACGAUGCCAGAUCCCAGCCACAUCUGGGACUACACCACGGCUCAUGGCAAUGAAGGAUCCUUAACCCACUGAGCCAGGUCAGGGAUCGAAUAUGCAUCUUCAUGGAUACUAGUCGGGUUCUUAACCCAUUGUACCACAAGGGAACUCUCUACUUUCCUUUUUUAAAAAUGACUUCUUUUUAUUUUAUUACACUUUGGUUUCAAGGAAUAGCAUGCUCCUGCAAAGAGCACUCUGCUCGUGUUGGCUCUUUGUGUCCUGCAUAGCCACCUCCCCAUCAAGACUAGAACACUUCCUGUAUUCCUUAGCAUCCUCUUGUGCCUCCUUCUGAUUUAUAUCACCCUAUCUCAGAAUUAACCCCUUGUAUUCAUUUCCUGUGGCGACUGUAACAAGUGACCCCAAGUGUGAUGAAUUAAAAACCAGAAAUUCAUUUUUAUAGCUUUGGAGACCGCAAGUCCAAAAUUAAGGCAUUGCAAGGGCUGUCCUCCCUCUGAAGGCUCUAGGGGAAGAAACCGGCCAGCCCCUUCUAGGCUCCAGCGGUCCCAGGCAUUCCGAGGCUUGGGGCUUCACUACUUCAGUCUCUGCUUCCAUCAUCAUAGGGCCUCUUCCUUCUCUGUGUCUCUCCUGUAUAUGUCUCUUAUGUGAACACGUCAUUGGAUUUAGAGCCCAUUUGGAAAAUCCAAGAUAAAUCUCAUUUUAAGAUCUUUAAUUAUAUCUGUAAAGACCCUUUUUCUAAAAAAAAGAAAGAAAGAAAGAAAGAAAAAGAAAAAGGAAGAAAGAAAGAAAAAGAAAAAGUCACAUCGUCACAUCCAAAGAGUCUAGGGCUUAGAGUGUGGACAUAUUUUUGGGGGAAGCCACCUUCAAUCUUACUACACUCCUGUUUUGAAUUCUAUCACCAUAGUUAAGUGUUGCCUUUUCUUAAACUUCAUAAAAAUGGAAUUGUACUUAUGCCAUCUCUGUGUCUGGCUUAGUUCACUGUUUUCCUUUUUAAAAAGAAAUCUGCAGAGGAAAGGCUUCUUGAACAACUCUUCAGUUAAUCGGGUUUUCUGUGAGACCAGAAGGACCUGAGUAGACAGUGAUGAUAAAAUCUGGCAGCUUCUGCAAAGCACUUACCAGUCUAGUCUCCCCAUCGAGCUCAUCUACAUUUGAUCUAGGUGUGUUAACAUGAGAUUCCUCAGUUCUAGAAGAAUCCGUAUAUAGCAGUUGAACCCACUCCCACUGAACUUUCAUGUAAGAGUGCCUUGGAAAGAAUCAAUUGAGGUAUAGCCUUGCUAUGAAUAAUAAUAACGUCAAAGUUACAAAUAAAAAGAGAUUCUUUCAUAGCUCUAGAUUCAGCCCUUUUCAUUUACCUGAGAUUCAUUGUAAUGCAUUUGUUUCCUCCUCUUUAAUGAAUGGAUAUUUCUUCCCUAAAAUUUAAAUUCCGUUUCAAAUACAUAUUUAUGAUAUCAUUGUCUGUGCUCAAGCAGGCGAUUUCAAGAUGAUCUAUAAGUAUAACCAUGCAAAUUCACUGCUCAAAUGAAUUCUGCCAAGAUAUUUCUCGUUAAUCUUGGGAACAUUGCAGGUGCAUUUAUUAAUACAGAGGACUUUGUGGUAGAAUGCGUGAUCCUUUCUGACAUAUUAAGCUAUUUUUAAUUUGCUCUUAUCAUUGAAAGCUUCUCUUUUUCAAAGAUAUUAGAUAACUCUAGGGUGUUAAGCAACAUAGAGUUAUUUGGGGGCACAAGGGAGAGCAGGAGCAGUUAUUAAUCUUAUGCAAAAAUGCCUAUCUAAUUUUCAAAGGAUCCAGGCACCACCACAAAUGAGAAGAUCCAUGGAGUAUCUGGGAGGAAGAUAAUAUCCUGCUUAUUUAAUUGAUCCUCUGUUACUUUUCUCUUGGUAGGUAUAGUUCACUAAUGGAAUUUGCGCAGUGCCAUCAUUAUUAAAAAUGUCAGUGUGACAUUUGAUUCAUCCAGUCUAUUUAGAUUUGGAACACAAAUCAUGUAUUUAUUCUAACAACAUAAUUGAUUAAUGCUCCCCACUUCUGUCUUCACUAUAUUUAGAGAUUUUUCUUAACAUUUCCAUCUUUACCCUAUAAGUAUGUUAUACCCCUCUUUAGGUUGGGGCCAUGCCAUAGGUUCAGCCUAUGUAAUAUUACAGUGAUUGGUAGCACGCUAGGAACUUGUAUCAAUGUUGUCAUCAGUUUUAUUUAAAGUUUAACAAUUGAUGGAUUUCUAAUGUGCUGGGCAUUGAGUGCAGGGUUUUAUGGCUCUCUUCACUUUAGGGUUCCUUGGUUCGGCUCUCUUUUUCCCUAGGCUCACGUAAGUCCCCUUUUGCCAUAUUCAAGGUUGACAUUAUCAGUGGGAGGGCCCAGGGAAUGAAGGAAGUUAAGAUGUACAACACGAUGAGUGUCCAGGUGAGAAGAUUCAUUUUAUUCAUCAAUUUAUUUACUUAACAAAGGUUUACUAGAUGCCUCUUACAGAUUCCAGGUUCUAGGAAACCGCAGUGAAAGGAGACCCAUCCUUUUGAGAGAUUUGCAUUCUCUUUGGGGGCUAUAAAUUCUAAAUAACUAGUGCAGAUUGUAGUAGGAAGGAAGGAAACAGAGUUAUAGAAAUAUGUCUUAGGAGGAUGGGGGCCAGGUGUAAAUUUGGUGUUCUGGGGAGUUCCCAUUGUGGCGCAGUAGAAAUGAAUCUGACUAGUAUCCAUGAGGAUGCUGGUUCAAUCCCUGACCUCACCCAGUGGGUUAAGGAUCUGGCUUUGCCAUGAAUUAUGGUGUAGUUUGCAGACACAGCUCAGAUCCCAUAUUGUUGUGGCUGUGGCUGUUGCUGGCAGCUGUAGUUCCGAUUCGACCCCUAGCCUGGAAACUUUCACAUGCCAUGGGUGCAGCCCUAAAAAGCCAAAAAGAAAAAAAAAAAUGAUGUUCUGGGAAGUCCUUAGUGAGUAGUUAAAAUUGGAGCUAAGAAGCAGGUCAAAGAGUUAGGGCAAAAGUCUUGAGGGGCCAAGAAUUGGGUACAGUCAAGGAAUACGAUAUAGGUGAUUGGAAAGUGUGAUAUGAGCUCUGGGAGGAGUUGGGUCCAGAACCUGUGGCACCCUGUGGCAAAAUAGGGGCCGGGCUGGUGCACAGCUGUUACUGUGGGACCUUUAGCUAGGGGGCUGUUAGUGAGCACACUCAGCCAAUGGUCCUUGUGUUUGGUAACAGCAGGACAUGGUGAAGAGGUGAAAUUUUAUUCUAAGUGUAAUGAAAAGCCAGAAAAAAAAAAUCUGUAAGACACUGAAGCUGGAGACUCUUUUUUCCUUUUUUUUUUUUUUUUUUGGUCUUUUGUCUUUUGUCCUUUUUAGGCCAGCACCUGUGGCAUAUAGAGGUUCCCAGGCUAGGGGUCUAAUUGGAGCUGUAGCCGCCAGCCUAUGCCACAGCCACAACAACACCAGAUCCAAGCUGCAUCUGUGACCUGUGCUACAGCUCAUGGGGACGCCAGGGCCUUAACCCACUGAGGGAGGCCAGGGAUGGAACCCGCAACCUCGUGGCUCCUAAUAGGAUUCGUUUCUGCUGCACCACGAUGGGAACUCCCUGGAGACUCCUUUUCCUACUCAAAUUUUCCCUGCCUCUGUGUGCUCCCAAGAGUAGAGAGAAAGAAAAAAAAAAA